This 81-nucleotide small nucleolar RNA is filed under the name Globisporangium iwayamae DAOM BR242034. Lineage: Eukaryota; Oomycota; Peronosporomycetes; Pythiales; Pythiaceae. The record is from RNAcentral.
UUGAGGUGAUGAUUUCAUUGACAAUCCAACUCUGAAGCUUAUGUGUUGAGAGAAUUCAAGAGCUUUUUAACCCUGAUCAAA